UACGAAGGGGGCUAGCGUUGUUCGGAUUUACUGGGCGUAAAGCGCACGUAGGCGGAUUUUUAAGUCAGGGGUGAAAUCCCAGGGCUCAACCCCGGAACUGCCUUUGAUACUGGAAGUCUUGAGUAUGGUAGAGGUGAGUGGAAUUCCGAGUGUAGAGGUGAAAUUCGUAAGAUAUUCGGAGGAACACCAGUGGCGAAAGGCGGCUCACUGGACUGGUAUUGACGCUGAGGUGCGAAAGCGUGGGGAGCAAACAGG
RNAcentral lists this ribosomal RNA (255 nucleotides) under uncultured bacterium. RNAcentral describes it as "partial 16S ribosomal RNA". It matches the Rfam family "Bacterial small subunit ribosomal RNA", at positions 524 to 776 of the family's 1533-position model. The record is from RNAcentral.